UCCAUUCGGCAUCCCUGAUCACUAAGCCUAUCUUUGGAAGCGCAGGGAAAGGGCAAAGGUACACUGUACGCCCAGUGGUAAUCCAUCACAGGUCACAAACACCUUAAUUUAAACUGUGCAUCUUUGGAGCCACGUGAAAAAACAAACUCCAUUCACAGGAAUCAAACCCACAACUUAAGAGAAUCCUGUCCAGCACCAAAGCUAUACACCUACUGAAAAAACUGUUUUUCUUUUUGAUGGGAACCUGAGAUAAAUGACUUAACACGCUGCCUCCUCGCGGAGUCCAGUUGCUCUUUCUCCUCAUUUCCAUGGCAGCCUGACCUGCUGCGGACACCUGUGCUGCUCUUGUGACUGACAUAUGAGGUCACGCUGACACCCGUACAGGCUUAUCAUCAGCCGUGGUUGCAGUGGGGAUCCAGUUAAGCAGAGACAAGAAAGAUUCGCAACGGAAGCGAUGUCUUAUCCUUCGGUGAAUAAGAGGCUGCCACCAUGUGUCCGGAAUUAACUUCAGGAGGAUUUGGGUGCUUUAGCAAAAGAGAGGCUGGUGUAUUUUGGGAACAACAACACUGCAGGCGCACACGGAGACCUGCACCACUUCUUGCGCUCAAGAAAGACACUUUCUUGACAACCACUGCAUCAAACGGAUCCAUUAUGCAUGCAAGGUGGGAGCUCACCUGAAGCACAUCACUGCCUUGUGCUUUUCAGGGGAGACACGCAACAAAAUCGAACACACCAAAAGUUCUGACUAGGGAAGGGAGGGGCACCAGACCACUCCCUUUUACCACUUGGAGAGAACCUUGAGGUAGUGAGUUUUGCAGGAGGUUGGAGGUGGGGUUGUUCUACAAUAUGACAACAGACCCCCAGUCGCCCAACUGUCAAGGGGACCGGAGUGACUCCCAAGGCACCAAGUCUGGGAAUCUGCUUACAUUCAGUCAUGGUCAAAUGUGGAGCAUGGUUAAAUUUUCCAAGAAAACUAGGCUUAUAGUUAUGAAGGACGAAUUUUUUAUUUCCAGCCUGAGCUGGGGAUUAAUUAUUCCUUCUUAAUUAGUGCCAAUAUUUAAUUAGAAACAUCAUUUAUUUAGGCUGAAGAUUUCUGGUGCAGUCGCCCGCCUUACAGGCCUGAAAUAGAUUCAGACCGUGAUGCCCUUAUUCUGCGAAACAUUUCUCCUGGCAAUACACCUGUGUCUGCUAUUUCUGUGAAUUAGUGUGCAUGUGAGGUCAGGAUGGAAGAGCUGCUUUCAACAUAAAUAAACCACUU
This is a long non-coding RNA of Brienomyrus brachyistius, 1258 nucleotides long. RefSeq lists it as uncharacterized. Lineage: Eukaryota; Metazoa; Chordata; Actinopteri; Osteoglossiformes; Mormyridae. The record is from RefSeq and is a predicted model, not a curated record. The transcript has 5 exons.